Molecule: transfer RNA, 63 nt
Filed under: Grandidierella japonica
Lineage: Eukaryota; Metazoa; Arthropoda; Malacostraca; Amphipoda; Corophiidae
Description: tRNA-Pro
Source: RNAcentral
CAGAAAAUAGUUUAUAAAAAAUAACAGUUUUGGGUAUUGUAGACAGGGGCUUUCUUUUUCUGA